RNAcentral lists this ribosomal RNA (253 nucleotides) under uncultured bacterium. Its description in RNAcentral is "partial 16S ribosomal RNA". It matches the Rfam family "Bacterial small subunit ribosomal RNA", at positions 524 to 776 of the family's 1533-position model. The record is from RNAcentral.
UACGUAGGGUGCAAGCGUUGCCCGGAUUUAUUGGGCGUAAAGGGCGCGUAGGCGGCUCUGCACGUCCGUUGUGAAAUCGCCCGGCUCAACUGGGCGGGGUCAGCGGAUACGGCAGAGCUUGAGCAAGCUAGGGGGCAAUGGAAUUCCCGGUGUAGUGGUGGAAUGCGUAGAUAUCAGGAGGAACACCGGUGGCGAAGGCGGGUCUCUGGGCCGAUAUCGACGCUGAGGAGCGAAAGCGUGGGGAGCGAACAGG